RNAcentral lists this ribosomal RNA (406 nucleotides) under Peribacillus muralis. Its description in RNAcentral is "bacterial SSU rRNA". It matches the Rfam family "Bacterial small subunit ribosomal RNA", at positions 97 to 489 of the family's 1533-position model. The record is from RNAcentral. Lineage: Bacteria; Bacillati; Bacillota; Bacilli; Caryophanales; Bacillaceae.
GGCGGACGGGUGAGUAACACGUGGGCAACCUGCCUAUAAGACUGGGAUAACUUCGGGAAACCGGAGCUAAUACCGGAUACGUUCUUUUCUCGCAUGAGAGAAGAUGGAAAGACGGUUUACGCUGUCACUUAUAGAUGGGCCCGCGGCGCAUUAGCUAGUUGGUGAGGUAAUGGCUCACCAAGGCGACGAUGCGUAGCCGACCUGAGAGGGUGAUCGGCCACACUGGGACUGAGACACGGCCCAGACUCCUACGGGAGGCAGCAGUAGGGAAUCUUCCGCAAUGGACGAAAGUCUGACGGAGCAACGCCGCGUGAACGAAGAAGGCCUUCGGGUCGUAAAGUUCUGUUGUUAGGGAAGAACAAGUACCAGAGUAACUGCUGGUACCUUGACGGUACCUAACCAGAAA